This 253-nucleotide ribosomal RNA is filed under the name uncultured bacterium. RNAcentral's name for it is "partial 16S ribosomal RNA". It matches the Rfam family "Bacterial small subunit ribosomal RNA", at positions 524 to 776 of the family's 1533-position model. The record is from RNAcentral.
UACGGAGGGGGCAAGCGUUGUUCGGAUUUACUGGGUGUAAAGGGUGUGUAGGCGGUUUUGUAAGUUAGAUGUGAAAGCUAUGGGCUCAACCCAUAAACUGCAUUUGAUACUGCGAGACUAGAGUACGGUAGAGGGAGAUGGAAUUCUAGGUGUAAGAGUGAAAUCUGCAGAUAUCUAGAGGAACACCAGUUGCGAAGGCGAUCUCCUGGGUCGAUACUGACGCUGAAACACGAAAGCUAGGGGAGCAAACGGG